Molecule: ribosomal RNA, 527 nt
Filed under: Haslea sp.
Lineage: Eukaryota; Bacillariophyta; Bacillariophyceae; Naviculales; Naviculaceae
Description: SSU rRNA
Rfam family: Eukaryotic small subunit ribosomal RNA
Source: RNAcentral
UUCAGCUAAAGCUCGUAGUUGGAUUUGUGGCGUACGGUGGGUUCCGGGCACUUGUUGUCUGAGUAACUUGCUGUUGCCAUCCUUGGGUGGAACCUGUGUGGCAUUAGGUUGUCGUGCAGGGGAUGCCCAUCAUUUACUGUGAAAAAAUUAGAGUGUUCAAAGCAGGCUUAUGCCGUUGAAUAUAUUAGCAUGGAAUAAUAAGAUAGGACUUUUUUGCUAUUUUGUUGGUUUGCGCAAAGAGGUAAUGAUUAAUAGGGACAGUUGGGGGUAUUCGUAUUCCAUUGUCAGAGGUGAAAUUCUUGGAUUUUUGGAAGACGAACUACUGCGAAAGCAUUUACCAAGGAUGUUUUCAUUAAUCAAGAACGAAAGUUAGGGGAUCGAAGAUGAUUAGAUACAUUUCGUAGUACCAACGACAAAUUCUUAGACCGCUCAAAGACGAACUACAGCGAAGGCAUUCUCCAAGGAUACCUUCCUCAAUCAAGAACCAAAGUGUGGAGAUCGAAGAUGAUUAGAUACCAUCGUAGUCA